Molecule: ribosomal RNA, 497 nt
Filed under: uncultured bacterium
Lineage: Bacteria
Description: partial 16S ribosomal RNA
Rfam family: Bacterial small subunit ribosomal RNA
Source: RNAcentral
GAUGAACGCUGGCGGCGUGCCUAAUACAUGCAAGUCGAGCGCACAGGCGAGGUGCUUGCACCAAUGACAUGAGCGGCGGACGGGUGAGUAACGCGUGGAUAAUCUACCUAUAAGAGUGGGACAACUUCGGGAAACCGAAGCUAAUACCGCAUAAAAUCUUGAAACGCAAGGUUCAAGAGUGAAAGACGGAAUUGCAGUAACCAAUAGAGGGAUCCCCGCCGCAUUAGCUGGUUGGUAAGGUAACGGCCUACCAAGGCAACGAUCCGUAGCCGACCGGAGAGGGUGAUCGGCCACACUGGAACUGAGACACGGUCCAGCCUCCUACGGGAGGCAGCAUUAGGGAAUCUUCCGCAAUGGGCGAAAGCCUGACGGAGCAACGCCGCGUGAGUGAUGAAGGUCUUCGGAUCGUAAACCUCUUUUAUUAGGGAAGACCAAAUUUGUAAGUAACUAUUCACGUCUUGACGGUACCUAAUCAGAAAGCCACGGCUAACUACGUG